UACGUAGGGUGCAAGCGUUGUCCGGAAUUAUUGGGCGUAAAGAGCUCGUAGGAGGUUCGUCGCGUCGGCUGUGAAAACCUGAGGCUCAACCUCAGGCCUGCAGUCGAUACGGGCGGACUUGAGUACUGCAGGGGAGACUGGAAUUCCUGGUGUAGCGGUGAAAUGCGCAGAUAUCAGGAGGAACACCGGUGGCGAAGGCGGGUCUCUGGGCAGUAACUGACGCUGAGGAGCGAAAGCGUGGGGAGCGAACAGG
Molecule: ribosomal RNA, 253 nt
Filed under: uncultured bacterium
Lineage: Bacteria
Description: partial 16S ribosomal RNA
Rfam family: Bacterial small subunit ribosomal RNA
Source: RNAcentral